CAUUUACCGUCACGAAGCUUGAACUGUAGUUUGUUUUACGCACAAAACGCAUCGCAGCGUCCGUCUCGAGGGGGACACAAGGGUCAUGUUUGGGGCGACGUGUUUUUAAUGACAGCAAUAAAACACCAUUAGGCUUUGGUUUUGUCUUACCAGCUCGCUAGAUCCAUUAUUCAUCGGACUCGAACCUCAUUGUCACAGUCAACUGCAUCAACAACACUGCGUCUCAAAUCUGACGACACAUACGCGUCAAACUACAGGACAAACUGGUAACAGUUGAAAAUACGUCCAUAUAGAGAAAAAAAGAAACUCAGGCAGGCUUGUGACAAGUGGAGGACAAGUAAAUGAUGACAGAAAGUUCAUUUUUGGGUGCUGUUGGCAGCCCUGCUUUGGAGACCUUGAGAGGGAACUGCAUUUUGAUGAGCCGUCAAAUGAGUGAACAAAGCCGGCUGGAGGCUUCAGUGAGGCAGGCUGCUUUAAUUCAUCGCUUGUGACACAGAACAGGCUCACGGAUAUAGUCAACACUUCCCAGCCUGCCUUCGCUUCUAAAUGUUUUCUGCUAUGACAGAAAGGUUUUUUUAAGCUCUUGCACGUCUCAUCCUUAUGAAAGCCUUUUCCUCAUCACCUUUGUGCCAUAUCUCCUUUUUGCAGAGCAAAAAAAUAUUUUGUAUUCAAGUAUUUUUGUCUUUCUCUUUUCCCAUUUGGCAGUUUUUUUUAAAUUACUUAAAUAUAAACUCACUUAAAUAGCCCUUUUUUUGCUUCAAAUCUAUCUAUAAUUAUUUUUAAGGGGUUUUCACCUUCAAUUGAGGUAGGAUAGUAGAGGUUAUAAACAAGAAACUAUUGAGCGCAGAGAGAGGGGAAGGGUCGGCAAAGGAGCUCGAGUCGGAA
Molecule: non-coding RNA, 885 nt
Organism: Danio rerio (zebrafish)
Lineage: Eukaryota; Metazoa; Chordata; Actinopteri; Cypriniformes; Danionidae
Source: RefSeq, a predicted model, not a curated record